Long non-coding RNA from Hypanus sabinus (Atlantic stingray), 933 nucleotides. RefSeq lists it as uncharacterized. Lineage: Eukaryota; Metazoa; Chordata; Chondrichthyes; Myliobatiformes; Dasyatidae. The record is from RefSeq and is a predicted model, not a curated record. The transcript is spliced from 3 exons.
GAUCAGCGAGCCGCUUCUGUCAGUGUUGCCGGCCUCGGCGCCCACAAGGAUGGGUGUGAUUCCCCUUCGCGCCUCGGUGGGUCUGUUUUGGUGCCGUCGGUGGUGGCUGACGUAACAUGCUUUGACAGGGAGCGAGCGAGGAACCUUGACUACAACUCCCAGAAGGCCCCACUGAUGACGUUGUGGUGUUGUUUCGGUGUAAGCUUUCCCACCACAGAUGUAAGGCUCAAUGGUCUAUAAUUAUCGGGACUAUCCCUACUACCCUUUUUGAACAAGGGGACAACAUUCGCCUCCCUCCAAUACUCCGGUACAAUUCCCGUGGACAAUGAGGACAUAAUGAUCUUCGCCAGAGGCUCAGCAAUCUAUUUCCUUGCCUCGGAUGCAGAACUGGGAAGCGCAGAUGGAGUUCAACACAGAUGAAGAGGUUCAUUUCUGCAGGUCAAAUUUGAACACAGAAUAUAAUAUUAAUGGAGGAGGCAGCUUUUUUUGUGAACACAGUUCUUAAAUAUUCUCUCUCUCUUCGGCUGUCACUCAGAAUCCAGCUCCAGCCUCUUAAAGUGACACUCGGAGUUAAGGAAACAGGAGCUGGUAACAGGUGUGUCGGUUGCUUUGGGGUGCACACUGACUGGAGGGUAGAAGGUGGGUUUUUCGGUGAGCACAGAUUUGUGGGUGCACACCGAUUUGCAGAUAUGUGAAGAGUGGGUGUGUUUGCGGAUUCGGGGGUGCACUCUGACUGGAGGGUUGAAUGUGGUUUUUUUCGGUGAGCACAGAUUUGUGGGUGCACACCGAUUUGCAGAUAUGUGAAGAGUGGGUGUGUUGGCGGAUUCGGGGGUGAACACUGACUUGGGGGAACCGGUGGAUUUCGAGGUGUUACAAAUCUCAUGGUUUUUCCCUUUAUACGGACUUCAAUAAUAAAUGCAAUAUGAAAUUUGA